RNAcentral lists this ribosomal RNA (253 nucleotides) under uncultured bacterium. RNAcentral describes it as "partial 16S ribosomal RNA". It matches the Rfam family "Bacterial small subunit ribosomal RNA", at positions 524 to 776 of the family's 1533-position model. The record is from RNAcentral.
GACGAACCGUGCAAACGUUGCUCGGAAUCACUGGGCUUAAAGGGCGCGUAGGCGGCUCGCGAGGUCGGGGGUGAAAUCCCACAGCUUAACUGUGGAAGUGCCUUCGAUACCGGCGGGCUGGAGGAAGGUAGGGGUGCGCGGAACUUCUGGUGGAGCGGUGAAAUGCGUUGAUAUCAGAAGGAACGCCGGCGGCGAAAGCGGCGCACUGGACCUUUUCUGACGCUGAGGCGCGAAAGCCAGGGGAGCAAACGGG